Molecule: ribosomal RNA, 497 nt
Filed under: uncultured bacterium
Lineage: Bacteria
Description: partial 16S ribosomal RNA
Rfam family: Bacterial small subunit ribosomal RNA
Source: RNAcentral
GAUGAACGCUGGCGGCGUGCCUAAUACAUGCAGGUCGAGCGAACGGACGAGAAGUUUGCUUCUCUGAUGUUUGCGGCGGACGGGAGUGUAACACGUGGAUCACCUCCCUAUAAGACUGGGAUCACUUCGGGAAACCGGAGCUAACCCCGGAAAAUUUUUUGAUCCGUAUGGUUUAAUAGUGAAAUGCGGUUUUGUUGUUACCAAUUGAUGGUUCCGCGCUGUAUUAGCUUGUUGGUAUGGUAACUGCCUAACAAGGCAACGCUCCAUAGCCGACCUGGGGGGGUGAUGGGCCACACGGGAACGGAGACACGCUCCAGACUCCUACGGGAGGCAGCAGUAGGGAAUCUUCCGCAAUGGGCGAAGGCCUGACGGAGCAACGCCGCGGGAGUGAUGAAGGUCUUCGGAUCUUAAAACUCUGUUAUAAGGGAAGAACAUAUGUGUAAGUAACUGUGCACAUCGUGACGGUACCUAAUCAGAAAGCCACGGCUAACUACGUG